UACAUGAUAUUAGUAUUUUCUGAAAUGUCUUGAUUUAAAUGAAAAUUGAUUUUUCUUGGUGGAAAGCAGUGCUUUGAUGAAAGUUUUUUUCUCUGUACUAGUAAGACAGGCAAGGUCUGUAUUAUGUAUUGGCCUCUAUUCAGAGAGUGAGACAUCUGCUACUGCAGGGGGCAGAGGGAAGCCUGCAGGAACGAUGCUAUCAAAAAGGCCUUAAGCACAACUCUCUUGUCAUUUGUCCAUGUAAAUAAUUAAAUUUCUUCAAGCAGUUUGCAGGGAAUUUUAUCAGAAUGUUGCAAGUUGACUUAGGGCUAAGGCUUUUCCUUCUUCCUUUCUGUGAUGCUCUUUGCAGAGCUGCCACACCUCCAGGAGGAUGUGCACCCAUUGCACAGUGCCCCAAGCUGCCACACACUGGGAGCAACCCCUGGAGCUGCUUUCCCUUUUGGGGUUUUCAGGGUCUCCAGCACUAGAAAUAGGCUGCAAGAUGUGCUUGCUGGUGUCUCAGGUGAUGUGUCUCAAAGAAUUAAAGAAAAGGAAGUGUAACAUUAUCCAUCUGGCUGGCAGCCCUUUGAGGAGCGGCUCUUUCCUCCUGUAGCUGUGAGGAUUAGAAGCAGCCCAUCUUCUUCAGCAGAUCCAGGCAGGCAGGUUAAGUGCUGUGCCUAAGACUCCAGGAUCUGAGGGCAGGCAAUUCCCUGAACUCACAAAAUCAUGACUUGGCAAAACCGUGUUAGCUGCAGAGCUGUUCGUGCUCUUAACCUGUAUUUCUCCUAGGCCAAUUAUGCUGAGCUUCUACUGAGGGCUAUAAUGGCUGGGCACACUCCCUUGAACCAAUGAUGUAGGUGGAUGGAGAAGACGAGCGGCCUGCUAAUGAGGAAAUGGCUGCUUGCUAGUAAUGCAUAGCUAAUGACCCCUGUCUCCAGCAGUCCACAACCAGGCGGAACAAAAAAUCUAUUUCCACCAAGUGCUUCAUUACCAUUUUGCUACACUCUGAUGAACAGCUUGGUUUGGUGGGGAGAGAAGGAAGAGUGAUGUGGCUGGGAUGUGGCUGUUGGAAGGAGAAGUAGCAUGGCUUUCCUGCUUCAGCCUGGCCCAGCCCCUGUGCCUCUCUGGGCAUUGCAUGGGGUUGUGAUACAUGCUGUGGGAAACAAGGGAGUGCCAAAAUGGAGAGGGUUCAGAGCUGGGUGUCUGUCACCUCUUCAGCCUCCUGUAGGCUAACACCCUUCUGGGCCUGGGAAAGGAAUGGGAGGUAGGAUGGAGCUCUGAGAAGCAGGUAAACCCCAGGGUAAAAGGUUUGUAGUCACUGUUGAUCCUUGGCUGUUGAAACCAGUGCCAGAUACCGGCAGGCCUGGGCUGUGCUAUGAGCACAGUGAAGGCAACAGGUUGAGUCCCCAUGUGCCAAAGCUCAGGUAUGUGAGGCUGCAUUGGCGUCUCUAAAAGGAUUGGGUUUGUUCUGUGUUUCUCAGUUUCCUGGGGUGUGAGGGUGGGCAGAGGAUAGGUGGGCAGGGCAGAAAAAUCUGCUGAAGGAUUUCUUCCUAUCAUCAGGGUAAACUCUUGUCGUGCAGCUCCUGCACCUCUCCCCUCACGUUUGGAAUUAAAAAUACAUUUCUGAACACGUUAGUGAGCAAUUCAGGCUUUCUGCACUACAGAGCCCAUCUUCUGACCAGGUCCUGUGACACCUACUCAUGUCAGUUGAUUUGGCCUCACUGGGCUGCUGUGGUUGGUAAAACGUAUUGAGAUGCUUCCAAGAUGGUAAAGAAAUACGAAUGGUUGCUGUUAGGCUAAUUUAUUACUAUUUAGCAGAGAACAAAUACAUUUUAAAAGGAUAAUGGCAAAUUAAAAAUCCUAUUAAGCAAAUUUGCUUACCUAGUACUUAGUAACAACUUGGGCUUAGAUCCCACAGUCAUUUAAAUGCAUGCAAAACUUUACACAAAUAUGCGGGCCCAGAGAAAUCUUGAAUCUCAGCGGGAUCGAGAACAUGGAUAUUAAGUAUGAAAUAAUUAUUAACCCUGCUGCCAAAUUAGUCUUUCACUCUUGGCACCACUAGUCUCCCGACUCUCUGCUUUUGCUUGGAAAAUGAAAAUCGAUGGGGUCAGGUUUACUUCUGUUUCUAGUCAGCGUCAAUUCAGUAACCUCAAUGCAGAGCUGGUUUUGCAAGAGAGUGUGGUAUCGAUCCUGUUUCUGAUCUGCAGCUCUUGACAUCACAGAGAAACCUGUGCUAGCCUGGGAGGCUGCUCUUGUCUGUACCACUGGGUUGGGAGGGCUGUGCUCACUUUCUGACUAGGGUCUGUGAGAUGAGUUGCUGUGCCCCAAGGCACAGUGCAGGGAGCUGUCUGGCUGCUGUUGGCCAGUGUGAUGGUCUGUGCUACCACGAGCUGGCUAGCCAGGGGCAGCCAAAAGCUGGAUUUGCUAUGGAAAGGUCACUCUGAAACUUUGCUGUCUUUGUCUGUCCCUCAGGUGUGCCACCACCCCACACAGCUCGGUGUCAUCUGCAAACUGCUGAGGGUGCCCCCUGUGCCACUGCCAGUGUCAUUGAUGAAGAAAUCAAAGAGCACCGGUGCCAGGGCUGACCCCUGAGGGACACCACUCAUCACUGAUCUCCACCCGGCCCCUGAGCCAUUGACCACCACUCUCUGGGUACAAUCUCACAGCCAGUUCCUCGUCCACUGAACAGUCCACGCAUCAAAUCCAUCUUUCCAGUUCUGAGAGAGGGGUGCUGUGGGAGACUGUGUCAAAGGCCUUACUGAAAUCCAGGUAGAUGACAUCAGAGGCUGUUGUUAUGCCAUCAUAGAAGGGCGCUGUGUUGCUAAGGAGGACCUGCCCUUGAUAGUUGUCUCAUAGCAGGUCCCCCCCUUUCAUGUGCCACAGCAUAGCUUCCAGGAGGAUCUGCUCCAUGAUACUGCCCAGCACAGAGGAGAGGCUGACAGGAAGCUCCCCGGCUGUGGCUGUUGUGCAUGUUGAGGAGAUGCAUCACUGAAGGAUUAAAAUACAACUGCUGUGAGCUGGGAAGCAAAGCAGGCCAGGACUAGAAGCUGCCGUGGAAGGAGAGGCACAUGAUGAAGUCUCCAGAGCUGCUUGCUGAUGGGACCCACAGCCACCAUCCUGCACCCUGCUCUGGGCAUCCAGAGACCCCCAGCACUGCCUGAGUCCACGAGGAAAUAGCCUGGAAACCUCAGGUGCCGUGGGGGGGAAUGCUGUACUUUGUUGAGGUUCACACUGCUCCUCUGAUCCUUGGCUCAGCUAAGUGCAUUGUUUUAAAGGGAAAGAGGAAAAAUUUCCUUCACAGGGCAAUAUUUCUUUAGUACCUCAGUAAUGAAGGUGGAUUGGGAAAUGAACCGUUCCCUAUUACAGUGGGACCUAACUGCACAGCCCAUGCUUUCCAGUUAAAAUUUGAUUGCCUUGAAUCCUGAAGAUUAUGGAAAAUAAGAAAAAGGCCCAGUAAAAUUUAUGGCUUUUAAUCAUAAAGCAGUAGAAUUGCAGUAAAUCUAUCAUAAGCAAGCAGAUAGGGACCCAGAAAAAAGAGGGAAGCCAUAGGCCUGGUGCUGGGGUCUGGAGGAGCAGGGCUUCAGGAUGGAGCAGGGCUGCAGCCCCCACCUCCUCCAAGGUGUUUAUCCCACAUGUGCAGGGCCCUUCUGUGCCAUCCUGCAGAGUCAUGGCCUGGCAAAGAGCUGGGCAGGGCUAGGGGGCAUGAAGAUAGUGAGGAGUGGUGAGGUGGGAGCAGGGGAUGGGGCAGGAUGGGGGGAGACCUUCAUUCCCAUUUUUAAGAAAGACCUGAGUAACUACAGACUGGGAGGAUCAUGGAGAAGAUCCUCCUGAAAGAGAUGUUAAGGCACAUGAGGAGGUGAUUCGAGGCAUCUAGUGUGGCUUAACCAAGGGCAGAUUGUGCCUGACCCAUCUGAUGGCCUUCUAUGAUAGAAUGAUGGCACUGGUGUACAAAAACUGAACAUGGUCCAGCAGUGUGCUCCUGCAGUCUGGAAGGCUGAUGGCAUCUUGGGCUGCAUCAACAGAGCAGUGGCAGUGGGCAGGG
Molecule: non-coding RNA, 4021 nt
Organism: Phasianus colchicus (ring-necked pheasant)
Lineage: Eukaryota; Metazoa; Chordata; Aves; Galliformes; Phasianidae
Source: RefSeq, a predicted model, not a curated record